GAUGAACGCCGGCGGUGUGCCUAAUACAUGCAAGUCGAGCGCACUGGCCCAACUGAUAUGACGUGCUUGCACUGAAUUGACGUUGGAUUCCCAGUGAGCGGCGGACGGGUGAGUAACACGUGGGCAACCUGCCCUGAAGCGGGGGAUAACAUCUGGAAACAGGUGCUAAUACCGCAUAACAACGAAAACCGCAUGGCUUUCGUUUCAAAGAUGGUUUCGGCUAUCACUUCAGGAUGGGCCCGCGGUGCAUUAGCUAGUUGGUAAGGUAACGGCUUACCAAGGCGAUGAUGCAUAGCCGAGUUGAGAGACUGAUCGGCCACAAUGGAACUGAGACACGGUCCAUACUCCUACGGGAGGCAGCAGUAGGGAAUCUUCCACAAUGGGCGCAAGCCUGAUGGAGCAACACCGCGUGAGUGAAGAAGGGUUUCGGCUCGUAAAGCUCUGUUGUUGGAGAAGAACGUGCGUGAGAGUAACUGUUCACGCAGUGACGGUAUCCAACCAGAAAGUCACGGCUAACUACGUGCCAGCAGCCGCGGUAAUACGUAGGUGGCAAGCGUUAUCCGGAUUUAUUGGGCGUAAAGCGAGCGCAGGCGGUUGUUUAGGUCUGAUGUGAAAGCCUUCGGCUUAACCGAAGAAGUGCAUCGGAAACCGGGCGACUUGAGUGCAGAAGAGGACAGUGGAACUCCAUGUGUAGCGGUGGAAUGCGUAGAUAUAUGGAAGAACACCAGUGGCGAAGGCGGCUGUCUGGUCUGCAACUGACGCUGAGGCUCGAAAGCAUGGGUAGCGAACAGG
Molecule: ribosomal RNA, 792 nt
Filed under: uncultured Lactobacillus sp.
Lineage: Bacteria; Bacillati; Bacillota; Bacilli; Lactobacillales; Lactobacillaceae
Description: bacterial SSU rRNA
Rfam family: Bacterial small subunit ribosomal RNA
Source: RNAcentral